GAACUGGAGUUUUUUAAAUAAAGAAAUUAGAAGAUUCUGGAUCUCUGGGUUUUUCCUAAACAAAAAACAUGGAAGCCUCUUUUCAUCUCUAAUAAUUGGAUUGUAUUUGACUUUUAAGCCCACUUCUGUUGUUGAAAAGGUCCAGUUAUUCUUUGCGUCAGUUAAGGAAGUGUAUCGCUAUUCGACGCCCGCAUACGUUAAUAUCGCCCGCCUUUUUUAUAUGAAAAGUCGAUUUUACCCUUAUUAAAUUAUAUCCCAUAAUAAAAAUAAUAAUUGAAAAUUUAAAAAUAAACAAUAAUUAUUUAUUUUACAAUAUGAUAAUACUCCAUAAUCUGUGUCACACUGUUUCACAACCGAUGAACAUUUACGAUCUCAAAUGAUAUUGAUAACAAUAAUAAUAACAAGAUUCUUGCAAAAAAAAAGGAAAAAAAAGAGAACUACCGCGCACAGAAUUGGCGCCGGAGACAUGGCUGCCGCGCACAACAAUUGCGCCGGCAACACGACGGUCGCGCACAAGAUCUACGCGGUGGCCCUUUCGUCGGCGCAAUGGUAGUGCGAAGAAUCCAUGCUUUUGGCGCAAUUGCAGUGCGCGGUGGGUUUUAUUUGAAAACACAAACAUCAUCGACACCAGGCCAUCAACAAUGGUUGUCUGGUUUAGAGUUUCUUCGCGAAUAGUCAACGAUUUCGUCAAAUCUCUUCCAAUUCAAGGUGAUUACUCUUCCUCGUUUUUGUCAGUGUUUAAGAUUCAUGGUGAUGAAUUGAUGAUGAUGCUGCUUAGUCUUUUGAUGAAGAAGAUGCUGCUUAAUCUUUUGGUGAUGAUGAUGAUGAUGCUUAAUUUGUUUAUUAAUUUUGAAUUUGAUGGAGAUGCUGCUGCUAUUUUGUUAAUCAAUUUGAUGAUGAUUUUUAUCAAUUUUGAACUUGAUGAUGACGGCGAUUGACGAUGAUGAUUUGUUUUUCAAUUUUGCUUCCCUUUAUUGAUUAUGAUUUAUGAGUGGCUAGAUUUUUAUUAUUAUUAUUAGUAUUAUUGUUAUUUUUUAAAAAUUA
Spinacia oleracea (spinach) is the source of this 1044-nucleotide long non-coding RNA. RefSeq lists it as uncharacterized. NCBI's taxonomy places the organism in Eukaryota, Viridiplantae, Streptophyta, Magnoliopsida, Caryophyllales, Amaranthaceae. The record is from RefSeq and is a predicted model, not a curated record. The transcript is spliced from 2 exons.